GUCUUUUUGAUUAUAAUUUAAAGUCUUAUCUGCUCAAUGAAUUAUUUUUAAAUAGCUGCGGUAGAGAUAACCGUACAAAGGUAGCAUAAUCAAUAGUUUUUUAAUUAAAAGCUGGUAUGAAUGGUGUAAUGAAAUAUUAACUGUCUUAAAUUUAAAUUUUUAUAAUUUUAUUUUUAGUUAAAAUUCUAAAAUUUUAUUAAAAGACGAGAAGACCCUAUAGAUUUUUAUAGUUUUAAUUAAUAUUAUAUUUAAAAUAUUUAUAGUUUAAAUUAAUUUUAUUUGAUUGGGGUGAUUAUUAAAUUUAUUUAACUUUAAUAAUUUUUAACAUAAAUUAAUGAAUUUUUGAUCUUUAAUUUUUGAUUUAAGAAUAAAUUACCUUAGGGAUAACAGCGUAAUUUUUUUGGAAAGAUCAUAUUGAUAAAAAAGUUUGC
Molecule: ribosomal RNA, 431 nt
Filed under: Hercus fontinalis
Lineage: Eukaryota; Metazoa; Arthropoda; Insecta; Hymenoptera; Ichneumonidae
Description: partial 16S ribosomal RNA
Source: RNAcentral